RNAcentral lists this ribosomal RNA (395 nucleotides) under uncultured bacterium. Its description in RNAcentral is "bacterial SSU rRNA". It matches the Rfam family "Bacterial small subunit ribosomal RNA", at positions 505 to 898 of the family's 1533-position model. The record is from RNAcentral.
GUGUCAGCAGCCGCGGUAAUACAGAGACCUCAAGCGUUACUCGGAUUCACUGGGCGUAAAGGGUGCGCAGGCGGUUGCGUGUGUCAGGUGUGAAAUCCCAGGGCUUAACUCUGGAACUGCGCCUGAAACUACGUGACUAGAGUCUUGGAGAGGUAAGCGGAAUUUCUGGUGUAGCGGUGAAAUGCGUAGAUAUCAGAAGGAACACCAAUGGCGAAGGCAGCUUACUGGACAAGUACUGACGCUCAUGCACGAAAGCGUGGGGAGCGAAAGGGAUUAGAUACCCCUGCAGUCCACGCCGUAAACGUUGUACAUUAGGUCUUGGAAGAUUCGACCCUUUCAGGGCUCAAGCUAACGCGAUAAAUGUACCGCCUGAGGACUACGGCCGCAAGGCUAAA